UACGUAGGGGGCAAGCGUUGUCCGGAUUUAUUGGGCGUAAAGAGCGUGUAGGCGGCUAGGUAGGUCCGUUGUGAAAACUCGAGGCUCAACCUCGAGACGCCGAUGGAAACCAUCUAGCUAGAGUCCGGAAGAGGAGAGUGGAAUUCCUGGUGUAGCGGUGAAAUACGCAGAUAUCAGGAAGAACACCCGUGGCUAAGGCGGCUCUCUAGUACGGUACUGACGCUGAGACGCGAAAGCGUGGGGAGCGAACAGG
This 253-nucleotide ribosomal RNA is filed under the name uncultured bacterium. RNAcentral describes it as "partial 16S ribosomal RNA". It matches the Rfam family "Bacterial small subunit ribosomal RNA", at positions 524 to 776 of the family's 1533-position model. The record is from RNAcentral.